AUGCCUGAGUUCUCCAACCAAUCUCUGGGAGAAGCACAGAGAUUACAAGAUUCCAGAGAGGUGUGUGGGAAGGAGUAUGGAUGUCCUCCAGUUCAUCCAGCAAUCCGGAGAAUCCGGGAUGAAGCAAAGAAGGAACAGAUGCUGUCCAGUUCGAACGCAUUCCAGCCAAACAGCAUGACCAUGCCCAGGCUGCUGAGGUCUCAAGCAACCGAAGACAGUGCUGAUGCCACUGACACUGCCCAGGGAAUGCUGAACCUCUGUACCACAACAUCGAGGGUGGAGGGCUGGUUUCCUGCCCUGAUGUUCCAGUCCUGGGAUGCUGGAGUGCGGGAUGCACAGCAUGAUGUGGAAGAGAUUGCUGAGACAGAAACUGCAGGACAGUCAUGUGGUGACCUGCAGAGUGCGUGUCUUGCCGCAUCUGUUGAUGCAGAAAAGGUGUGUUCAGCUUCUGUUCUGGAUGCAGCUUCUGGGCCUUCAGGAUACCUUGAGCCUCUGCAUGCAUCGGUGCCAGCAGAUCUGGAUAAGUCAGAUUCUUUUGAGACUGAGCACUGUUUAGAGGAGGCCAACACAGAACCACUGCUGUCAGCAUGUGAGGAAGAAGAAAAAGAAGCAGCAGCAAUGACUGUUCCAGAAUCAUCCACACAAGCUCUGGGAGGAGCACCAAAAUUGCAAGAUCCCAUAGAGAUCAGCAUUGAGGCCUAUGGGCGUUCUCCAGUACACCCAGCAACCUUGAGAAUUUCUGUUGACGUGAGGAAGGAACAGAUCUUGUCCACCUGGAACAUCUGCUGGCCAAACAGGAGCAUGCCCGAAGCAGCACAGGACAGUGCAGAAACAGGGGGCAUUCAGCUUCUGUUCUGGGACGCAGGUCAUGGGCCUGCAGGACUGCUUGAGAGCCUUUCCCCUGCAUCAGUUCCUGAGGACGAAGAGGUGGCCAGUGAAACACCUUCUCCUGCCAGAGUGUGAGGGAGAAGUAAGUGUACCACCAUGAUUCACAGGCUUUCAUCUGAUGAUCAGACCGCCUUCAACUUCCCUGUGGAUGCAUGCGAAGGACCAGAAACUACAGGCGAUGAACAGAAGGUGAGGAAAGUGCACUUGGUCAGCACCAGGUGUGAAAUCAGAGCACAGGCAGGAGCUAUGCCAGAGUGUACACUGUGGGGCGAUGCCUGGUGCUGUCCCCUUUCAAGCCAUCUUCUGUGCACAAGGGUGGACAUCCCCUCCAUAACAUCUCCCUCAAGCCAGGGGCAUGUUUGACAAGCAGGGGGAGUCAACUUCUCUCCAUGGGGCCCUGGCAUCUGGAAUGUUGCUGCGCAGGAGCCUACAGGGCUGUGGUUUUGCUGUCCCCCACACAGGUUUCUGCAGAGAGGGCAGAAGAGAUACAGAGAAGUCUGUGUCCUUCAGAGAUCCACUGGAGGAUGAUCCAGGUCGUCCCGGCAAAGCCAUCCCAGGGAGCGGCCGUACGACUAGUGCCCCCAAGUGCAGGCUGGCGAUGUUCU
Molecule: long non-coding RNA, 1493 nt
Filed under: Coturnix japonica (Japanese quail)
Lineage: Eukaryota; Metazoa; Chordata; Aves; Galliformes; Phasianidae
Description: lncRNA (ENSCJPG00005007646.1)
Source: RNAcentral